This 501-nucleotide ribosomal RNA is filed under the name uncultured bacterium. RNAcentral's name for it is "partial 16S ribosomal RNA". It matches the Rfam family "Bacterial small subunit ribosomal RNA", at positions 30 to 523 of the family's 1533-position model. The record is from RNAcentral.
AUUGAACGCUGGCGGCAGGCUUAACACAUGCAAGUCGAGCGGGGAAAAGUAGCUUGCUACUUAACCUAGCGGCGGACGGGUGAGUAAUGCUUAGGAAUCUGCCUAUUAGUGGGGGACAACAUCUCGAAAGGGAUGCUAAUACCGCAUACGUCCUACGGGAGAAAGCAGGGGACCUUCGGGCCUUGCGCUAAUAGAUGAGCCUAAGUCGGAUUAGCUAGUUGGUGGGGUAAAGGCCUACCAAGGCGACGAUCUGUAGCGGGUCUGAGAGGAUGAUCCGCCACACUGGGACUGGGACACGGCCCAGACUCCUACGGGAGGCAGCAGUGGGGAAUAUUGGACAAUGGGGGGAACCCUGAUCCAGCCAUGCCGCGUGUGUGAAGAAGGCCUUUUGGUUGUAAAGCACUUUAAGCGAGGAGGAGGCUACCGAGAUUAAUACUCUUGGAUAGUGGACGUUACUCGCAGAAUAAGCACCGGCUAACUCUGUGCCAGCCGCCGCUGUAA